AUGAGGGGUUCACGGUGGUGCUGCUGCUGCUUCGGCCGGGGCGGCGGCGGGGCCGGGCGGUCGGGGAGCGUGGGCGACGACGGGCUGGUGUGGGACGUGGGCCUCAAGGCGCACGCCUCCGGCGAGUACUCCGUCGCCGUGGCCCAGGCCAACGAGGCGCUCGAGGACCAGGCGCAGGUGCUCGUCUCCCCCGCCGCCACGCUCGUCGGCGUCUACGACGGCCACGGCGGCCCCGACGCCGCCCGCUUCGUCAACGCGCGUCUCUUCUCCCUCAUCCAAGAGUUCGCGUCCCAGAGCGGAGGCAUCUCGGCGCAGGUGAUCAAGAGGGCCUUCGGCGCCACGGAGGAGGCGUUCAUGGGCAUGGUGGAGAAGUCGUGGCCGUCGCAGCCGCGUCUCAUGUCCGUCGGCUCCUGCUGCCUGGUGGGCGCCAUCGAGGGCGGCACGCUCCACGUCGCCAACCUGGGCGACUCGCGCGCCGUGCUGGGCCGCCUCGCCAGCACGGGCGGGAAGAAGCGGAGGGCGGUGGUGGCGGAGCGGCUGUCGCGGGACCACAACGUGGCCGACGAGGAGGUGCGGCGGGAGGUGGCGGAGGCGCACCCGGACGACCCGCACAUCGUGAUGAGCAGCCACGGCGUGUGGCGGAUCAAGGGGAUCAUCCAGGUGUCCCGCUCCAUCGGGGACGCCUACCUGAAGCGGCCCGACCUGUGCAGCCCGGCGGUGAUGCAGUCGCUCUGCCCGUUCCCGCUGCGCCGCCCGGUGAUGAGCGCCGUGCCGUCGGUCACGUCCCGCAGGCUGCGCCCCGGCGACCAGUUCAUCAUCUUCGCGUCGGACGGGCUGUGGGAGCAGCUCAGCGACGAGGCCGCCGUGGGCAUCGUGUCCCGGAGCCCGAGGAAGGGCGUGGCGAUGAGGCUCGUGCGCGCCGCGCAGCUGGAGGCGGCCAGGAAGAAGGACAUCAAGUACGAGAGCAUCGCGGCCAUCGAGAAGGGCCGCCGGCGGCGCUUCCACGACGACAUCACCGUCGUCGUGCUCUUCCUCGACAGCAGGUGCGAGGGCACGCCGCAGCCGACGGCCGGCGCCGGCGGGAUCGACGGCACGCGCGCCCCCGUCGACGUGUUCUCGCUCGGCCCCGACGACCACGGGGACGACCCGACCAGGCCCGUGCUGCGCUGA
Molecule: ribosomal RNA, 1170 nt
Filed under: Triticum aestivum (bread wheat)
Lineage: Eukaryota; Viridiplantae; Streptophyta; Magnoliopsida; Poales; Poaceae
Description: partial small subunit ribosomal RNA
Source: RNAcentral